This 301-nucleotide ribosomal RNA is filed under the name uncultured bacterium. Its description in RNAcentral is "partial 16S ribosomal RNA". It matches the Rfam family "Bacterial small subunit ribosomal RNA", at positions 509 to 807 of the family's 1533-position model. The record is from RNAcentral.
CAGCCGCCGCGGGAAUACGGAGGGGGCUAGCGUUGUUCGGAAUUACUGGGCGUAAAGCGCACGUAGGCGGCUUGGUAAGUUAGAGGUGAAAGCCUGGAGCUCAACUCCAGAAUUGCCUUUAAGACUGCCGAGCUAGCAGGUGAGAGAGGUAAGUGGAAUUCCGAGUGUAGAGGUGAAAUUCGUAGAUAUUCGGAAGAACACCAGUGGCGAAGGCGGCUUACUGGCUCAUACUGGACGCUGAGGUGCGAAAGCGUGGGGAGCAAACAGGAUUAGAGACCCCUGUAGUCCCUGUCUCUUAUAC